UGCAGUCGAGGGGUAUUAGUUUUCGGACUAAGAGACCGGCGCACGGGUGCGUAACGCGUAUGCAAUCUACCUUUUACAGAGGGAUAGCCCAGAGAAAUUUGGAUUAAUACCUCAUAGUAUAUAGACCUGGCAUCAGGAUUAUAUUAAAGUCACAACGGUAAAAGAUGAGCAUGCGUCCCAUUAGCUAGUUGGUAAGGUAACGGCUUACCAAGGCAACGAUGGGUAGGGGUCCUGAGAGGGAGAUCCCCCACACUGGUACUGAGACACGGACCAGACUCCUACGGGAGGCAGCAGUGAGGAAUAUUGGACAAUGGGCGCAAGCCUGAUCCAGCCAUGCCGCGUGCAGGAUGACGGUCCUAUGGAUUGUAAACUGCUUUUGUACGAGAAGAAACACUCCGACGUGUCGGAGCUUGACGGUAUCGUAAGAAUAAGGAUCGGCUAACUCCGUGCCAGCAGCCGCGGUAAUACGGAGGAUCCAAGCGUUAUCCGGAAUCAUUGGGUUUAAAGGGUCCGUAGGCGGUUUAGUAAGUCAGUGGUGAAAGCCCAUCGCUCAACGGUGGAACGGCCAUUGAUACUGCUAAACUUGAAUUAUUAGGAAGUAACUAGAAUAUGUAGUGUAGCGGUGAAAUGCUUAGAGAUUACAUGGAAUACCAAUUGCGAAGGCAGGUUACUACUAAUGGAUUGACGCUGAUGGACGAAAGCGUGGGUAGCGAACAGGAUUAGAUACCCUGGUAGUCCACGCCGUAAACGAUGGAUACUAGCUGUUGGAAGCAAUUUCAGUGGCUAAGCGAAAGUGAUAAGUAUCCCACCUGGGGAGUACG
RNAcentral lists this ribosomal RNA (821 nucleotides) under Flavobacterium piscis. RNAcentral's name for it is "bacterial SSU rRNA". It matches the Rfam family "Bacterial small subunit ribosomal RNA", at positions 56 to 884 of the family's 1533-position model. The record is from RNAcentral. Lineage: Bacteria; Pseudomonadati; Bacteroidota; Flavobacteriia; Flavobacteriales; Flavobacteriaceae.